GCCAGUGGCUCAACGGUUAGAGCGUUGGACUUCUGAUCAACAGGUUUCGGGUUCGAACCUCGGGUAUGGCA
Molecule: transfer RNA, 71 nt
Filed under: Schistocephalus solidus
Lineage: Eukaryota; Metazoa; Platyhelminthes; Cestoda; Diphyllobothriidea; Diphyllobothriidae
Rfam family: tRNA
About the family: Transfer RNA (tRNA) molecules are approximately 80 nucleotides in length. Their secondary structure includes four short double-helical elements and three loops (D, anti-codon, and T loops).
Source: Rfam by way of RNAcentral